Molecule: long non-coding RNA, 1473 nt
Filed under: Sus scrofa (pig)
Lineage: Eukaryota; Metazoa; Chordata; Mammalia; Artiodactyla; Suidae
Description: lncRNA (ENSSSCG00005027654.1)
Source: RNAcentral
GUGAUUUCUGUAGUCUGAGUCUAUUUUUAGCAUUAUCUUUGCCUAAGAGCAAAUUUGAGAGUAUGUAGAAGUGGCAAGGCACUGGUGAGGAGUGGGGUGUGGGGUGGCACACAGAUGGAGCAUGAACCAAGCAGGGAAAGUUGUGCACAGCAACGGCACUGACCCAGGAAUCUCUUGCUGAGCACAGAGAGGGCAUCUUGUCUGCAUGGGAGUUGUAUGUGGCUGCCGAGCAACCAAAGCAAGGAGAGGAAGGAGGUAAGGGGUUCCUGAAAUAGAUUUGAUUUUCACAAUUUGGUUUAAAUCUGACCCUUGUCCUCCUAGAAAGUAGAAGAUACGAUAAAGAUUUUGGCUUUGGGGACCAGCUCUCGGGAAGAAAGGACUGCAGGAUGGAGGAGGGUUUUGACUUGCCCUGGUGUGUGUGUGUAAACUGGGAUCCGGAGUUUGACAGCAGAGGAGAGACUUCUGGUGUGAAGAGCAGAGCGAUCCUGAUCUUACAGUUCUCAAAGAGCAAGCAAAUGUCCUCUUUCCAAGCCUCACAUUUAGACUGACUGCUGGCAGAUAGAAAACUUCUUGAAGGAGGCCUCGGCUUUGAAGGUUUGUUGUAAGACCGUAACACCUAACUCAGGGGUGGAAGUGGGUGCUCUGCCUUAGCCUUCCCAUGGUUACACCAAGAGGAUCUGGACGACCACUGCUCCUGAGAGGCCAAUGUUUCUACUUCGUGGCUUUAACCAGUGUGCUCUGGCUGCCAUCUGCACAGACCCGAGAGUCUUUUCUUCCACAGAGGUUUCACCUUCAACUGCCUACAGCAUUUGGUCUCUUCUGGAGGAAUUUAAGAGGUAUCUCUUAUUUUUAUAAUAAUAAUAUUAUUACAGGGAAUUCCCCUCACGGUGCAGUGGAAAUGAAUCUGACUAGGAACCAUGAGGUUACGGGUUUGAUCCCUGGCCUCGCUCAGUGGGUUAAGGAUCUGGCGUUGCCGUGAGCUGUGGUGUGGGUCACAGACGUGGCUCAGACCUGGCAUUGCUGGGACUCUGGUGUAGGUUGGAGGCUACAGCUCCAAUUAGACCCCUAGCCUGGGAACCUCCAUAUGCCAUGGAUGUGGCCCUGAAAAGACAAAAAGACAAAAUAAUAAUAAUAGUAAUAAUAAUAUUACACUAUAGUCACUUAUUCAAUGUAGAAGAAAAAGAGUAUUAUUAUACAUGAAAGCCUUUGGAAAUCAGCAACAGCAAGGCUCUGAAGAUCUGAACAGUAAGAAAUGACUCUUAGAAUCCUUUUUCUAACCCACCACUUAGUUGGAUCCCCAUGUACUUUAUUAGUCAACCAUUUGUAACAAUCUGUUCAACAUCUACCUUCCCCGUUAAACUCUAAGCUCUAUGAUGGCAGAGCUUUUAUCUGUCUUAUUCAUUACUGUAUUCCCAGGACCUAGCGGAAUACUAGGAACACAGUGGAUGAUCAGUAUAUGUUUGUUGAUCAAUG